This 1325-nucleotide long non-coding RNA is filed under the name Chinchilla lanigera (long-tailed chinchilla). RNAcentral describes it as "lncRNA (ENSCLAG00000027544.1)". Lineage: Eukaryota; Metazoa; Chordata; Mammalia; Rodentia; Chinchillidae. The record is from RNAcentral.
GAUUCUAAUGCAGUGUUGGGAAUACCAAAGUUUACUGGGAAAUAAUACCUGUGAAAGGAAAAUGGGAAGAAGCCAUAUGUGCCAGGGGAUUCAUCAGAAAUGUAGACUGGACAGUCUGUAAGCUCCACUAGAGCACCAGAGCAACGGUUGCUGGUAAGAAGAGUUCCGUGUUUGGUCAGAAAUAACAAUAUCCUUGUACCUCUGGUCCCCCCCACCCCAGUCACUGGCAAAUGUUUAACGAUGGCUUUCCAAGGAGGGAGUGCUGAUUUGCAGCAUCUGUCAAUUUUUUCAGGGUAAAGGCUUGCACCAUCAUUGAUUUGAAGCUAUGGAGAUAACAUGAAUGCAGAAUUGAGAAGAAAUGUGCACCUACCAGCUCUUCCAUCAGCUGGUGUGAGCCAGGACACAUGGCUGGAAGUCACCCUGGAUAGUGACAAAUGUCUCCUUGAGAGAAACAUCACCACCACGCAAGAGCCACUAAUGCACUUGGACAGAGAGACCUGUGAUGUUGGAGCAUGAAUAACAAUUCUUCCACUUCUUACGGACAGAAACUGAAGUACAUUGCUGAUCUUCUGCUGCACAGAAGAUGAUGGUCGUCAAGUCUCCUGUGAUGAAAGAAGCCUUGUUCUAUUUGGUUUUCCUCAAUACUCAGAGACUGAGUGACUCGUCCAGAAGAAUCUGGGGACACUCUGGCCAGCUUGCUUGGCCUUCGUACGAGAGUCAAGACAUAAAUUGGACCAUAAAUUGGCCUCUGUCAGAAUCUACAUCGGAAUGACACCAAAUACAUGUCAUCGGGCUUGUGUUCCAACUAACAGCAGGAAUCCACUGGUGCUUGUCAUCUUGAUCAAAUGUUCACCUCACUCCCUUUUCCAGUUCCUGCCUCUACUUUGAAGAAAAUACGGUGAAGACCCUGGCAAAUUUGCUGUUUGGGUUCGGCAGUGUUGUGCAGCAAAAAGAAAACAGGUGAAUUUAAUUGAUUGGUUCCAAGUUAAGUCUCCACUGUGAGUAUCAGAGGUAGGAUGCAUAUAAAUAAAAGUGGAUGCAAACAAAGAAAUAUACAGUUAUACAAAAGGAACAAGAAGGUAUGCAUAACAGAUAUAUUUAUCCCACAAGUAAAGCCACGGCUCCAUGAUUCAUGAGUGGCAGAGAUAUGGUUGACUUACAGAGAUUUGUUCUCUGGAGUAAGAUAAACUUGGCAUUUCAACUCCUACCAUUAUGGACUCUGAGCAAAAAAUCAAAUGUUUUCAAGAGUUAGCUUAUGUUAUCAAUGAACACAUACAGCCACGUGUUAAUGAAAAAGUUCAGAUGGUUUUUCCAAAUAUAAGUAU